UGCUGUCUACCCCUGACCAUAAACAAGACACCUCUGCUGCUGCUAAGACUCCCUCUCCUGACGCGCAGCCGGGGAAAUCGCAGCCGUCCAACGCCCAACUGGAAACCGCCAAAGGUUUCUUGGUGGAAAGUGUUUUCAAGAUUUCAGACUUCCAUCAAACAAAACAUAACAGGGCAACGACCGUGACUCCCCGCCAUCCUGACUCCCCAGCGCGGGCACUGAGGAACCCCCCUCUGAGGCCCAGAGGAGAUCGCCCCCGAUCAGUCCGUUGCCGGCAGGGCCUUCCAGCAGGGGACAUACAGUUAUGUGUUGUGCCCUGUGAUGGCAAUUUCUAAAAUCCAAGUAAU
This is a long non-coding RNA of Esox lucius (northern pike), 347 nucleotides long. RefSeq lists it as uncharacterized. The record is from RefSeq and is a predicted model, not a curated record. Lineage: Eukaryota; Metazoa; Chordata; Actinopteri; Esociformes; Esocidae. The transcript has 3 exons.